This 253-nucleotide ribosomal RNA is filed under the name uncultured prokaryote. Its description in RNAcentral is "partial 16S ribosomal RNA". It matches the Rfam family "Archaeal small subunit ribosomal RNA", at positions 474 to 727 of the family's 1478-position model. The record is from RNAcentral.
UACCCGCAGCACGAGUGGUGGUCAUUAUUAUUGGGCCUAAAGCGUCCGUAGCCGGUCCUGUAAAUGCCUGGGUAAAUCGAUGCGCUCAACGUAUCGAAUUCCGGGUAGACUGCAGGACUUGAGACCGGGAGAGGCACGGGGUACUCCAGGGGUAGGGGUAAAAUCCUGUAAUCCUUGGGGGACCACCAGUGGCGAAGGCGCCGUGCUGGAACGGCUCUGACGGUGAGGGACGAAGCCCUGGGGCGCAAACCGG